GAUGAACGCUGGCGGCGUGCCUAAUACAUGCAAGUCGAGCGAACAGACGAGGAGCUUGCUCCUCUGACGUUAGCGGCGGACGGGUGAGUAACACGUGGAUAACCUACCUAUAAGACUGGGAUAACUUCGGGAAACCGGAGCUAAUACCGGAUAAUAUAUUGAACCGCAUGGUUCAAUAGUGAAAGACGGUUUUGCUGUCACUUAUAGAUGGAUCCGCGCCUCAUUAGCUAGUUGGUAAGGUAACGGCUUACCAAGGCGACGAUGCGUAGCCGACCUGAGAGGGUGAUCGGCCACCCUGUAACUGAGACACGGUCCAGACUCCUACGGGAGGCAGCAGUAGGGAAUCUUCCGCAAUGGGCGAAAGCCUGACGGAGCAACGCCGCGUGAGUGAUGAAGGCCUUCGGAUCGUAAAACUCUGUUAUUAGGGAAGAACAAAUGUGUAAGUAACUAUGCACGUCUUGACGGUACCUAAUCAGAAAGCCACGGCUAACUACGUG
RNAcentral lists this ribosomal RNA (497 nucleotides) under uncultured bacterium. RNAcentral describes it as "partial 16S ribosomal RNA". It matches the Rfam family "Bacterial small subunit ribosomal RNA", at positions 28 to 507 of the family's 1533-position model. The record is from RNAcentral.